RNAcentral lists this ribosomal RNA (425 nucleotides) under uncultured bacterium. RNAcentral describes it as "bacterial SSU rRNA". It matches the Rfam family "Bacterial small subunit ribosomal RNA", at positions 356 to 772 of the family's 1533-position model. The record is from RNAcentral.
GGGGAAUUGUUCGCAAUGGGCGCAAGCCUGACGACGCAACGCCGCGUGGAGGAUGAAGAUCUUCGGGUCGUAAACUCCUUUCGAUCGAGACGAAUGGCCUCCGGGUGAACAAUCCGGAGGAAUGACGGUACCGAGAGAAGAAGCCCCGGCUAACUCCGUGCCAGCAGCCGCGGUAAUACGGGGGGGGCAAGCGUUGUUCGGAAUUACUGGGCGUAAAGGGCCCGUAGGUGGCCAACUAAGUCAGACGUGAAAUCCCUCAGCUUAACUGGGGAACUGCGUCUGAUACUGGUUGGCUUGAGUGCAGGAGAGGAACGCGGAAUUCCAGGUGUAGCGGUGAAAUGCGUAGAUAUCUGGAGGAACACCGGUGGCGAAGGCGGCGUUCUGGACUGCAACUGACACUGAGGAACGAAAGCCAGGGGAGCAAA